CUGAUGUAUAAAAAUAAAAAAAAAACUCAUCUGUCAUUUUCGCAAAGCAAAUAAAAAUAAUUUGAAAUUAAAAUGUACGUUUCAGUCAGUUUUACCAAAUUAAGUACUGUUUUAAUGGCAAAUAUAAAAUAUACAGUUCCCAUUCUUUAUUCUGAUCGCCGGCUCAGAAGGCCAAGGAGAAAUCCGACGAUGGUGUCCAUCGGAUCAUUCUCAAAGUGGCGUAAGGGAGAGCCACCGUUUUUUUUGCGUUGAGUCCUCUUCCUCAGUACGAAAUCGGCUAUCCAAUAGGCAUCGGCAAUUGGCCUAGAGAUCCCUUCAAUACUACCAUGCACCAUUUUGCUUCAAUUCUUUGGUCGUAUGAUUCCACAUUCCACCAAAUAGUGCUGUUGGAUGGAUGCGGCAGUUUGGAACAUUGCAUUGCAUAUUGUAGUACUGCAGCAAUUCUAGCAUCCACAAUCUCAACAUUGCUCUGGCGAUGGAAGCAAAACUAUCACAAGGCGCAGACGCAUUUGUUAGAAACUUGAGUUCAGGAGUGACCAUGGUGUUGGUUGGCUAUUCCGGGAUUAUGCUUCGGUCAAAACCAGUAGUUACAAUGAACUACGUGUCGUUUUAUUGCCUACGUAAUGAUGAUCGGACUGACUUAUUUCAUUUACAAAUGUAAGCAUCAAUUUUACUACAAAUCUAACCGGGAUUGUGAUAGGAGCAAUAGAGGUAACUUUAUUUAAUGGACCAGUAAAUAAACUAUGCG
Long non-coding RNA from Armigeres subalbatus, 748 nucleotides. RefSeq lists it as uncharacterized. The transcript is spliced from 3 exons. The record is from RefSeq and is a predicted model, not a curated record. Lineage: Eukaryota; Metazoa; Arthropoda; Insecta; Diptera; Culicidae.